RNAcentral lists this ribosomal RNA (695 nucleotides) under uncultured Clostridia bacterium. RNAcentral describes it as "bacterial SSU rRNA". It matches the Rfam family "Bacterial small subunit ribosomal RNA", at positions 67 to 765 of the family's 1533-position model. The record is from RNAcentral. Lineage: Bacteria; Bacillati; Bacillota; Clostridia.
AGAAACAGAUUCUUCGGAUGACGAUUCUGAAACGUUUAGUGGCGGAUGGGCGAGUAACACGUGAGGAACCUGCCUUUCACAGGGGGAAUAACACUGGGAAACCAGUGCUAAUACCGCAUAAUGUAUUAAAGUGGCAUCACAUUAAUACCAAAGAUUUUAUCGGUGAAAGAUGGCCUCGCGCCUGAUUAGCUAGUAGGUGAGGUAACGGCUCACCUAGGUGAUGAUCAGUAGCCGGACUGAGAGGUUGAUCGGCCGCAUUGGGACUGAGACACGGCCCAGACUCCUACGGGAGGCAGCAGUGGGGAAUAUUGGGCAAUGGGCGCAAGCCUGACCCAGCAACGCCGCGUGAAGGAAGACGGUCUUCGGAUUGUAAACUUCUUUAGACAGGGACGAAACAAAUGACGGUACCUGUAGAAUGAGCCACGGCUAACUACGUGCCAGCAGCCGCGGUAAUACGUAGGUGGCGAGCGUUAUCCGGAAUUACUGGGUGUAAAGGGCGUGUAGGCGGCACUGUAAGUCAGAUGUGAAAUCUCCCGGCUCAACCGGGAGCGUGCAUCUGAUACUGCAGUGCUUGAGUGAUAGAGGGGAAAGCGGAAUUCCUAGUGUAGCGGUAAAAUGCGUAGAUAUUAGGAGGAACACCAGUGGCGAAGGCGGCUUUCUGGCUAUUAACUGACGCUGAGGCGCGAAAGCGUGGG